AAUAAGCGGAGGAAAAGAAACUAACAAGGAUUCCCCUAGUAACUGCGAGUGAAGCGGGAAAAGCUCAAAUUUAAAAUCUGGCGGUCUCCGGCCGUCCGAGUUGUAGUCUGGAGAAGCGUUUUCCGCGUUGGACCGUGUACAAGUUUCCUGGAACGGAGCGUCAUAGAGGGUGAGAAUCCCGUCUUUGACACGGACCCCAAUGCUUUGUGAUGCGCUCUCAAAGAGUCGAGUUGUUUGGGAAUGCAGCUCAAAAUGGGUGGUGAAUUCCAUCUAAAGCUAAAUAUUGGCGAGAGACCGAUAGCGAACAAGUACCGUGAGGGAAAGAUGAAAAGCACUUUGGAAAGAGAGUUAAACAGUACGUGAAAUUGUUGAAAGGGAAACGCUUGAAGUCAGUCGCGUCGGCCGGGACUCAGCCUUGCAUUCGCUUGGUGUACUUUCCGGUCGACGGGCCAGCAUCAGUUUUGACCGCGAGACAAAGGCGGAGGGAAUGUGGCUCUUUCGGGAGUGUUAUAGCCCUUCGUUGCAUGUCGUGGUUGGGACUGAGGACCGCAGCACGCCUUUAUGGCCGGGGUUCGCCCACGUACGUGCUUAGGAUGCUGGCGUAAUGGCUUUAAACGACCCGUCUUGAAACACGGACCAAGGAGUCUAACAUGCCUGCGAGUGUUCGGGUGGAAAACCCGUGCGCGUAAUGAAAGUGAAAGUUGGGAUCCCUGUCGUGGGGUGCACCGACGCCCGGACCAGACCUUUUGUGACGGAUCUGCGGUAGAGCAUGUAUGUUGGGACCCGAAAGAUGGUGAACUAUGCCUGAAUAGGGUGAAGCCAGAGGAAACUCUGGUGGAGGCUCGUAGCGAUUCUGACGUGCAAAUCGAUCGUCAAAUUUGGGUAUAGGGGCGAAAGACUAA
This 902-nucleotide ribosomal RNA is filed under the name Aleurodiscus sp. MG266B. Its description in RNAcentral is "LSU rRNA". It matches the Rfam family "Eukaryotic large subunit ribosomal RNA", at positions 45 to 934 of the family's 3401-position model. Lineage: Eukaryota; Fungi; Basidiomycota; Agaricomycetes; Russulales; Stereaceae. The record is from RNAcentral.